RNAcentral lists this ribosomal RNA (253 nucleotides) under uncultured bacterium. RNAcentral's name for it is "partial 16S ribosomal RNA". It matches the Rfam family "Bacterial small subunit ribosomal RNA", at positions 524 to 776 of the family's 1533-position model. The record is from RNAcentral.
UACAGAGGGGGCAAGCGUUGUUCGGAAUUACUGGGCGUAAAGGGCGCGUAGGCGGCCUGUUAAGUCGGACGUGAAAUCCCUCGGCUCAACCGGGGAACUGCGUCCGAUACUGGCGGGCUUGAAUUCGGGAGAGGGAUGUGGAAUUCCAGGUGUAGUGGUGAAAUACGUAGAUAUCAGGAGGAAUACCGGAGGCGAAGGCGGAUAGCUGGGCCAACACUGACGCUGAGACCCGAAAGCGUGGGGAUCAAACAGG